UGGGGAAUUUUGCACAAUGGGGGAAACCCUGAUGCAGCGACGCCGCGUGAUUUAGAAGGCCUUCGGGUUGUAAAAAUCUUUUUUACGGGAUGAAAAUGACAGUACCAUAAGAAUAAGGUCCGGCUAAAUACGUGCCAGCAGCCGCGGUAAUACGUAUGGACCGAGCGUUGUCCGGAAUCAUUGGGCGUAAAGGGUACGUAGGCGGCCUAGUAAGUUAGAAGUGAAAUAAUAUAGCUCAACUAUAUAAAGCUUUUAAAACUGCUAGGCUUGAGAGAUGGAAGGGAAAGUGGAAUUCCUAGUGUAGCGGUGAAAUGCGCAGAUAUUAGGAAGAAUACCGGUGGCGAAGGCGACUUUCUGGUCAUCAUCUGACGCUGAGGUACGAAAGCGUGGGUAGCAAACAGG
RNAcentral lists this ribosomal RNA (402 nucleotides) under bacterium. Its description in RNAcentral is "partial 16S ribosomal RNA". It matches the Rfam family "Bacterial small subunit ribosomal RNA", at positions 355 to 776 of the family's 1533-position model. The record is from RNAcentral.